ACCGACUCAAGGUUGACUCAGCUUUCCAUCCUUCCGAGAUGUGCCACAACUGUGCCAGAAAUAGGUCAACUUAAGCUGGCCGAGAGGAACAACGGUGUGAGAUCACCCAGGAGUGGAAUUACAAUGGGAAUGAAGGGGGAGAAAAAAUCUGUAUGGAAACGUUUAGGGAAAGAGAGAGAAGGGAAGGAAAGAGAAGUACGCAAGGGACUAAUUACCAUGUAUCAUUAAUAUGCAAAUGAAUGCAGUCUUCUGUCCUCAUCAUGAUGCAUUUUCAAAUUGGGGGUGACGUCAUUCAGGCUGCCCCAAAGGUAGCAGAUAGAUAAAGCACAAUUUGCACCCUCUCCCAAAAGAAAUAUAUAUAAACGGUUCGUGUGCACGAUUGAGAUAAUGAAGUUUAUUCAACUGCAUGCUUUGGGUUACAUGUUUUACAUGUUUUUUUUUUUACAUGUUCUAUUUGAACAAACGUAUCUGACUGAUAUGGACACUGAGCAAGCAGUCGUAACGUUUUAAUAUAUUUUGAAACACUGUUAAAUGCUUAAAAAUGAGAUUUACUAACGGGCAAAGUUUUAAGAUUUAGGAAAAAAAAAACAAAGAUGCAUCAAAACUACAAUUUAUGUAGUCCUCGACUUACAACUAUUUGUUUAGCGACUGUUACGACGAUACAAGGGGGGAAAAGUGACUUGCAACAGGUCCUCGCACUUACAACCGUAGCAGGAGCCCUGCGGUCAUGGUGAUCAAAAUUUGGACACUCGGCAACCGGUGUUUAUUGGUAGCAGCCUCCUGGGGUCAUGUGACGGCCAUGUGUGACCUUCUCAGUUGGUUUCCAACAAGCCAAGUCCAUUGGGGGAAGGUGAUUCACAUAGCGACCACAUGAUUCACUUAACAACUGCAGAGUAGCUUAAGAACCGCGGCCAAAAAAAAAAAAA
Molecule: long non-coding RNA, 926 nt
Organism: Thamnophis elegans (Western terrestrial garter snake)
Lineage: Eukaryota; Metazoa; Chordata; Lepidosauria; Squamata; Natricidae
Exons: 2
Source: RefSeq, a predicted model, not a curated record